This 331-nucleotide ribosomal RNA is filed under the name uncultured bacterium. RNAcentral describes it as "bacterial SSU rRNA". It matches the Rfam family "Bacterial small subunit ribosomal RNA", at positions 568 to 898 of the family's 1533-position model. The record is from RNAcentral.
CGCGUAGGUGGGAUAGUCAGUCUGUCUUAAAAGUGCGGGGCUCAACCCCGUGAUGGGGCGGAAACUGCUAUUCUUGAGUGCAGGAGAGGAAAGCGGAAUUCCCAGUGUAGCGGUGAAAUGCGUAGAUAUUGGGAGGAACACCAGUGGCGAAGGCGGCUUUCUGGACUGUGUCUGACACUGAGGCGCGAAAGCUAGGGGAGCGAACGGGAUUAGAUACCCCGGUAGUCCUAGCCGUAAACGAUGGGUACUAGGUGUAGGGGGUAUCGACCCCUCCUGUGCCGGAGUUAACGCAAUAAGUACCCCGCCUGGGGAGUACGGCCGCAAGAUUAAA